Solanum lycopersicum (tomato) is the source of this 1751-nucleotide RNA transcript. It is a transcript of the gene named protein CDC73 homolog, with no coding region annotated. Lineage: Eukaryota; Viridiplantae; Streptophyta; Magnoliopsida; Solanales; Solanaceae. The record is from RefSeq and is a predicted model, not a curated record.
UGAGUUUCUUUUUUCGGCUCCAGUGAGAACGCCAACUUGUUCCAUACAGUAGUCUCUAUGAACUACUAGUCCAACAUACUCUAAUCCCCUUAAUUUCAGUGACAAUUUUCAAUCCCUAAUCGAUCUUCCAUGGACCCCCUCACACUCCUCCGUGAGUACACCAUACGCAACGACCUCCACAAGAUUGUUCGCAUCGGCGACGACUACCGAUUCGGCAAUGACUACACUUUCCCUUGCACAAUCGAAACCGCUUAUCGCUCCAAACAUGUUCAAGCUAAUCGGUACACUCUCGAAACCCUAAUCAACUUCAUCACCAAUCACCACCUUAAACACACUGAAUACAUUCAGCAAUCUCGUUCUCUUCGUAUUCCGGCGGUUACCCUACCUGACCGUAAACCCCUUCUCGAUUAUCUCACCGGAAAGACUGCAUCUUCAGAUUCUAUUGAAUUCCUCAAAUUCCCUCAGUCGAAUGAUACUUCAGUUCCUGUUUCUGUUUCAGCUGGUGUUACGGGCAAUGAGGAGAAUGUGAUGAGUGAUGUUAGGGUUUUGGAAAAUCAAAACCCUAUUGAGCUGAUUAAAGCUGCUGAGAAGCCUUUGAAGGAUAGAGAGGCGAUUUUGUUUUGUAAGAACCGGGAUUUCUAUAGUGUUUUUACGGCUGCGUUGCGUAGAGAUGAGGAGCGGCACCGGGCGGAAUCCUUGCAGAGAAAAGAUGGGUUGGUUGCUAAGAAUCGGAUAGAUAGGGGGUAUGGAGGUGGUGAUGAAAUAGGAUAUGAUGGAGGGCCCAAGGCGAAAAUGCAUUUGAAGGGGAGUAAGAUAGGGGAGGGUGUUCCCAUUAUUUUGGUUCCCAGUGCCUUUUCGACUUUGAUCACCAUCUAUAAUGUGAAGGACUUUUUGGAGGAUGGGGUGUUUAUACCAACUGAUGUGAAACUGAAGCAGAUGAAGGGGUCAAAACCGGACUGUAUAACAGUACAAAAGAAGUUUAGUAGGGAUAGGGUAGUUACAGCAUAUGAGGUUAGAGAUAAGCCUUCUGCCUUGAAGCCGGAAGAUUGGGACCGUGUGGUGGCAGUUUUUGUGUUGGGGAAAGACUGGCAGUUCAAAGAUUGGCCUUUUAAGGAUCAUGUUGAGACCUUUAACAGGGUUGUAGGAUUUUUUUUGCGUUUUGAGGAUGACAGUGUGGAGUCAGCGAAGACCGUGAAGCAAUGGAAUGUCAAGAUUAUCUCGAUUAGUAAGAACAAACGCCACCAGGACAGAGCUGCAGCACUUGAGGUGUGGGAGAAACUUGAAGAAUUUAUGCGGUCACGGUCUCAUUGAUUCAUGCUGAGUCUCUAGGUGAAACUAGAUGACAAUAUCUUACAAAACUGGACAGCUAAGAGGCUCGACAAAAUCCAAAUGUACCCUGAUAAGCUUGUCAAUGUCAUCAAUAGAUAGAAAUACAGCGCCCCUAAGAUGAAUUUCGUCCUUUUAUAGGUUCUACAAGGUCUUCUAUUGUGGCAUACCACUUGUUUAGAGAUUGUGAAUUCUAUGUAAAUCCUUUCUUAGCAAACUAGCAAUAGUGAUUGACGAAGUACGAUACAAUGGCCAAUCAGGCUUCGGUGGAAAACUGACUGCUGAAAUGAGCAAAUGCUAUGAAAAGUAAUAGUACAUUUUCAUGACAGAGCAAACUAGCUAGUCAAAAUACAAUGGACUGUUAGGUGAUGUUGAUUAUUGAAGCAUAAGAAGCAAUCAAGAGAAAGAAAAAGGAAAAAGGAGCA